CCAACCGGGAUUGCCUUAGUAACGGCGAGUGAAGCGGCAAAAGCUCAAAUUUGAAAUCUGGUACCUUCGGUGCCCGAGUUGUAAUUUGGAGAGGGCAACUUUGGGGCCGUUCCUUGUCUAUGUUCCUUGGAACAGGACGUCAUAGAGGGUGAGAAUCCCGUGUGGCGAGGAGUGCGGUUCUUUGUAAAGUGCCUUCGAAGAGUCGAGUUGUUUGGGAAUGCAGCUCUAAGUGGGUGGUAAAUUCCAUCUAAAGCUAAAUAUUGGCGAGAGACCGAUAGCGAACAAGUACAGUGAUGGAAAGAUGAAAAGAACUUUGAAAAGAGAGUGAAAAAGUACGUGAAAUUGUUGAAAGGGAAGGGCAUUUGAUCAGACAUGGUGUUUUGUGCCCUCUGCUCCUUGUGGGUAGGGGAAUCUCGCAUUUCACUGGGCCAGCAUCAGUUUUGGUGGCAGGAUAAAUCCAUAGGAAUGUAGCUUGCCUCGGUAAGUAUUAUAGCCUGUGGGAAUACUGCCAGCUGGGACUGAGGACUGCGACGUAAGUCAAGGAUGCUGGCAUAAUGGUUAUAUGCCGCCCGUCUUGAAACACGGACCUCCUGUGUGAGGGAUCCCCCUUA
This 611-nucleotide ribosomal RNA is filed under the name Saccharomyces cerevisiae (brewer's yeast). RNAcentral describes it as "eukaryotic LSU rRNA". It matches the Rfam family "Eukaryotic large subunit ribosomal RNA", at positions 65 to 664 of the family's 3401-position model. The record is from RNAcentral. Lineage: Eukaryota; Fungi; Ascomycota; Saccharomycetes; Saccharomycetales; Saccharomycetaceae.